RNAcentral lists this ribosomal RNA (411 nucleotides) under uncultured bacterium. Its description in RNAcentral is "bacterial SSU rRNA". It matches the Rfam family "Bacterial small subunit ribosomal RNA", at positions 102 to 509 of the family's 1533-position model. The record is from RNAcentral.
ACGGGUGAGUAAUGCCUAGGAAUCUGCCUGGUAGUGGGGGAUAACGUCCGGAAACGGGCGCUAAUACCGCAUACGUCCUACGGGAGAAAGCAGGGGACCUUCGGGCCUUGCGCUAUCAGAUGAGCCUAGGUCGGAUUAGCUUGUUGGUGAGGUAAAGGCUCACCAAGGCGACGAUCCGUAACUGGUCUGAGAGGAUGAUCAGUCACACUGGAACUGAGACACGGUCCAGACUCCUACGGGAGGCAGCAGUGGGGAAUAUUGGACAAUGGGCGAAAGCCUGAUCCAGCCAUGCCGCGUGUGUGAAGAAGGUCUUCGGAUUGUAAAGCACUUUAAGUUGGGAGGAAGGGUUGUAGAUUAAUACUCUGCAAUUUUGACGUUACCGACAGAAUAAGCACCGGCUAACUUCGUGCC